Molecule: long non-coding RNA, 5009 nt
Filed under: Heterocephalus glaber (naked mole-rat)
Lineage: Eukaryota; Metazoa; Chordata; Mammalia; Rodentia; Bathyergidae
Description: lncRNA (ENSHGLG00000049696.1)
Source: RNAcentral
GUUGGUGUGUUUUUUUCUUUUUUACUUUCUUUACCCACAUUUUUACAUUCUGCAACGAUGACACGCACAGACACAAAGCACACAUAGACACCACACAGACACCCGCAGACACGCACACGGAAAAAACAGAAAAAUGAACUGAAAAAUGUAAUAUGAAUGAUAAGCACAAAGCAAACAAAAUAAAUAAAAACCACCAAGCGAGAGCAAAACCUAGAAAGACACAAAAAUCUCAGCCGCGCCCAGCCCGGCCCAGGGCCGGCCGCACACAUGCGAUGCUUGCAUUAUGGUUGCUCUGCAUCUGUUGGUAAUGUUGUUGCUAAGUUUUUUGCACUCGUCGCCAUGGUAACUUGGGCCUGAUGCAUGCUGGGAGAAUGUACAAAUUUCUCUGCAUGCCACUCUUUGUCGGUUUGGUUUGGUGAAUCCCCAAAGUCUUCUGUUGGAGUGUUUCUUGUCUCCUGUUCUGUUUUUCUCUUUUGUUUUUUCCCCUUUUUUUUCUUUCUUUCUUUCAAGUUUUGUUUCUUUUGAUGGGGGGGGGAUUGGUUCGUUUUUUUUCCCCCUUCCCUCCCUCUUCACCCGGUCCCCCUCUCCCUUCUCCCCCAAAGCGAUUGUCUUUGGUUCUGUUUUGUUUCUGUGCUGUUUUGGUUUUGGUUUCUUGGGCUGAGCUGUUCUGUGGUUGUUCUCCAAACGCAUUGUGAUGUAAAAGCCAGUGUUCCUGUCCCGACUCUCAUGGGAGGGCAGAAAGGGCUUCCCACAGCUGGGAUGCUGGGCCAGAAAGUGACCGUGUGGGGCAUCAUGACAGGUGGGCGGUGGGAGGUCAGAGCCUGGGUGGGGUAUGUGGGGAGAGCACCCCAAUUUGCCUGACCUCCUAGGCAGCCCCCCUUUUCCUUUAUUCUCUCCUGGGCAGCAGUGCGGGAGGGAACAUAAGCAGGUGUUUUCUCCUCCUCUUAGCCUCAGUGUGAGGCUGUCCCACCACCCAAGUCAGCAAAACAAACCAAAAACCAGGUUUGCUAAGUAAAGCUGAGGAGCCCCCAAGAGUCAGGGUCCUCAUUCAGUCUGCAACAUGUCCAGUAAGGAUAGUGGCAAAUGGAGAAGUCGGGAGAGAGCAGUAACAACUCCGUCCUCCUGAGACUCUGUGUGCUUGGCACAUCGCGUUCCAAAUGCCAGCUGGUGUGGUGGCUUCGUGCAUCCCGGCUGGGCACAGGUCCGGGGCUGCCCACCCGCAUGUGCGGCGGGACAGACUUUGGAAGAAAUACUUGGCCGGCUGUGAAGCCCGGAGCACUGUGCCUCCACCUCCCAGGCGGCGUUAGCUGCUCCCCCUUUCCCUCGCUCAGGCUCUGGGCCCAGUCACAGGUGUCUGCUGUCCAGCAGCGCAGCACGGUCACUUUCGGAGUUCCCCACGCAUCAGAGCUGCGGAGUUCUGGGGGAAACCAGGGGAAUUUUGGACACAGCCUCCUCCCUACUCUCUCUGUCUCCCCACUCCUCUUUGUUCUCUUUCUCUCUCUCCCUCCCUCUCUCUCUGUCUCUCUCCUCUCCUCUCAUAAAACCUUAGAGAUCCAUGUCUCUAUCUUCUGCUCCCUCCCCGAGAAAAAGCAAGCACCCUUGAGACUCUCCUAUCAACUCCAAAUAAAAAACAAACCCGAACAAAAUACCCGUCGAGGGUCCCAUCCACCAGCCCUUACCCAGCGUGCUGCUCAGCAGUCAAGGGUAGAGGCCACUUUUCCUCCUGUCUCGUCCUUCCUCUGCCUGUUCUAACCUCCCAGUUACUAAAUCCAAAGCCACGUUGUCAAGAAAACCUUAGACACAAUAAGAGGGGACUUAUUUCUCCUCGCUCAGUGAGCUUGAGAGCUGCCAGAUCACCCCACGGGAAGCCCCCGAAAGUUGGGGAAAAGUGAUCCCCCAGGCCCUCCACCAACGCUAGGUUCUGGUGCACUGCACCUCAAGGGGCCGAGGGUUUCUGGAGGGCACUAGAUCUCACCGGCAGAACAGCCGGGUCCUGAGAGCUGAGUCUGGGCUGUGGCUCUGUCCCUGCCUCGUUGCGCGACCUUGGGCUUGACCUUUGAGAUGACUUGGACCCCCUCUUUCCUCAUCUGAACAACAAGACCUUAAACGUGCCGUGCUCAGAGUUGCUGGGUAUAUUCCAUUGCACUGAGACCCACGAUCAUCCCCCCUGAACAACUCUUCCCCUCUCUGGGCCCUCCUCCUUCAUUCUUGCCUCCUGUGUCCACUGUUUAAAUAAGGUGGCCUGUGGGAAACUGCUUUAAAAUCACAGGGCAGAAGCUAAUUCAUGUGCUCAAGACUGAAUUUUUUUUUUUUACACUUACUGCUUUUCUGAACUCGUGAGCAAUCGAUCUCAUUGUCUCCUGACUCCAGCCCUGACCCCAGGCAGGACCUCAGUAGCUUUUCCAGAGCCAUAGCUGUUGUCCCUCCGACCUAACCCCAGGCAACUCCCUGGAAAGUUUAGCAGCCGCAGGGGGUGACAAAGAGAGCUUUAAAACUAGGCAAGCCGGACAUGGUGGCACUUGCCUGUCAUCCCAGCACCCUGGGAGGCUGAGCCAGGCAGAAGGAUCACAAGUUCAAGUCCAGCACUGGCAACUUAGCAAGACCCCGUCUCAAAUUAAAAAAAUAUAUAUAUAUAUAUAUAUAUUUUAAAGGACUGGGGAUGUAGUUCAGUGUGAAUUAUCUGGGUUUAAUUCCCAGUACAAAACAAAACAAAAAACUAGGCUACCCUUUCAGGUAGUUACUCGCCUGCAGAAGCCUGCGGGUACUUAACGUUGUUGAAAGCACAGCCUGACCAGGGGGUUGGUUUAUCGCAGGGAGUCUCGCCUACAACAUCGCUCUUCUAACUGCGGAGCAGAAUUCCCAUCUGCCUUUCUCCUGAAAUUGACCACCAGGGUCCCAAGAGCCAAAGUCCAAACCCUGGCCACUUUUGUCACCUGAACUUACAGAUCUGCCCAGGUGGGGACCGGAUGGUGCUCUCCUCAACUAUUAAUUCUGUUUCUUGUCUCUUGGAAGUUGGGAGCCUUUACCGUGUGUGCAGAUGAAGGGCCAGCGAGGCUGCCUUUCCUGGCUGGCCGAGCGACCUAGGGACCUAUGUCAGUGGUGUCCCCCUGCCUGCUACCCAAGCCCUAGCAUUGGUGGACGUGACCUCCAGCGGUUCCUUGGCCUUCUGUGUCCCCAGAGUGACUUCCCCAAGGGUCUGCUGGCCAGCUCUCGGGGUCCUGCUGGGAUCGUGGGGGCAGGCAGUGUGAGAUGAGGACCCAGCCCUUCUCAUCCCGCACCCGUGGGGGGAGAGGGGCUCCCGCAGGAACACUGAGCUGGGACCACUGUCGCCUGCUGCCUGCCUCCUGCCCUGUGCAUUGCUCUUCCCUCUGUGGGUGGGGGCGGGCACGAGGGGCCUCUUAGAUUACACCUGGUCACCUGCAGAGCAGGGGAGGGCAUCGGUCGAUUGGAUGAAACCCAGAGGGGGGAGAGAGAGAGAGGGUAACCUCACCCCCCAAAAUACCCCAUUUUCUGAAACCGUCUCUAGUGCAGCCAGUACCAAGGCCGCAGGUCAGGGCCCCAGCUUCCUCCAGGCCGUGAGGUGGCUUCGUGGGGGAGGGGAGGGGGUCACCAGGCGCUGAAGACCAGAGGGGACCAGAGAGGGCACAGCACAGCAUCGGGGGGUGCCCACCUCCCCGGGCCACAGGCUGGGUCUGAAGGCAGGGACUAGAACCGGGCUUGAAAUUGGGCUCUGACUGCCCCCCUUCCCCGACAGGUGUAAUCUAAGCUUCACUAACCCCUCCCUGGAGGCUGCACCCCUUCCUGGCAUCUGUCCCUGCCCUCGCCGCUGGCAUAAAUGUCCAUUUUGGAGUUUGGAGAAGCAUCUCGAGGUCUCUCUCACCCCAAAAUGGCCCGCAGAGCUCCCCGCACCCCCGGAGCUGCGGCUUGCUGGAUCUCUUGAGCUGUCUGACACUGUUGGGUCCCCACCUGAUGCUUCAACCAAAUCACCUCACUUUUGAGUCCCCCCACCCCGCCUCCCCCUCACUCCACUUCCCCCACCCCACCUCAGUUUUGAUUUUUUUGAGUCUUUGCCUCUUCCUGCCUGGGGGAGGGGCCGUCUCCCGGUUGCUUUGACAGUUUUUGAGUUGUUUUUCCAUGUGAAUUGGGGUUUGAAGCGACCACCCCUCCACCCGCCACCACCCCCCGCCCCCCCAACCCCUCCGCCCAUGCGGGUCCCCUCGCUGAGACCCUCCCCGGCCACUCGGUGACGAGAAGAGCUGGGAACCAGAGCCAGCUGGAGCGUGCUGACCACAAGGCUGGUGUCAUCCCUUAUAACCCGCCUGGACCCUCUAUUCAGUCCGCCGCGUGGCCCCCCGCUUCUCCAUUCUCCCCAUGAGCCACGAGAUCAUGCCGGGGGGCAACGUCAACAUCACCUGCGUGGCCGUAGGCUCGCCCAUGCCCUACGUCAAGUGGAUGCAGGGUGCCGAGGACCUCACCCCCGAGGACGACAUGCCCGUGGGCCGCAACGUGCUGGAGCUCACGGAUGUCAAGGACUCAGCCAACUACACGUGCGUGGCCAUGUCCAGCCUGGGUGUCAUUGAGGCAGUGGCUCAGAUCACCGUGAAAUCUCUGCCCAAAGCCCCUGGGACGCCUGUGGUGACCGAGAACACUGCCACCAGCAUCACCAUCACGUGGGACUCCGGCAACCCAGACCCAGUGUCCUACUAUGUCAUCGAGUACAAGUCGAAGAGCCAGGACGGGCCGUACCAGAUCAAGGAGGACAUUACCACCACGCGCUACAGCAUCGGCGGACUCAGCCCCAACUCGGAGUAUGAGAUCUGGGUGUCGGCCGUGAACUCCAUCGGCCAGGGGCCCCCAGCGAGUCAGUGGUGACACGCACCGUGAGCAGGCUCCCCGCCAGCGCCCUCGCAAUGUGCAGGCCCGCAUGCUCAGUGCCUCCACCAUGAUCGUGCAGUGGGAAGAGCCCGUGGAGCCCAACGGGCUGAUCCGAGGCUGCCGCGUCUACUUCC